RNAcentral lists this ribosomal RNA (447 nucleotides) under uncultured bacterium. RNAcentral's name for it is "partial 16S ribosomal RNA". It matches the Rfam family "Bacterial small subunit ribosomal RNA", at positions 29 to 523 of the family's 1533-position model. The record is from RNAcentral.
AACGAACGCUGGCGGCAGGCUUAACACAUGCAAGUCGAGCGCCCCGCAAGGGGAGCGGCAGACGGGUGAGUAACACGUGGGAAUCUACCCAUCCCUACGGAACAACUCCGGGAAACUGGAGCUAAUACCGUAUACGCCCUUUGGGGGAAAGAUUUAUCGGGGAUGGAUGAGCCCGCGUUGGAUUAGCUAGUUGGUGGGGUAAAGGCCUACCAAGGCGACGAUCCAUAGCUGGUCUGAGAGGAUGAUCAGCCACAUUGGGACUGAGACACGGCCCAAACUCCUACGGGGGGCAGCAGUGGGGAAUAUUGGACAAUGGGCGCAAGCCUGAUCCAGCCAUGCCGCGUGAAUGAUGAGGGCCUUAGGGUUGUAAAGUUCUUUCACCGAUGAAGAUAAUGACGGUAGUCGGAGAAGAAGCCCCGGCUAACUUCGUGCCAGCCGCCGCCGUAA